GACGAACGCUGGCGGCGUGCCUAAUACAUGCAAGUCGUGCGGACCUUUUAAAAGCUUGCUUUUAAAAGGUUAGCGGCGGACGGGUGAGUAACACGUGGGCAACCUGCCUGUAAGACUGGGAUAACGCCGGGAAACCGGGGCUAAUACCGGAUCGUUUUUCCUCCGCAUGGAGGAAAAAGGAAAGGCGGCUUCGGCUGCCACUUACAGAUGGGCCCGCGGCGCAUUAGCGAGUUGGCGGGGUAACGGCCCACCAAGGCAACGAUGCGUAGCCGACCUGAGAGGGUGCUCGGCCCAAUUGGGACUGGGACACGGCCCAAACUCCUACGGGAGGCAGCAGUAGGGGAUCUUCCGCAAUGGACGAAAGUCUGACGGAGCACCGCCGCGGGAGUGAAGAAGGCCUUCGGGUCGUAAAACUCUGUUGCCGGGGAAGAACAAGUGCCGUUCGAACAGGGCGGCGCCUUGACGGUACCCGGCCAGAAAGCCACGGCUAACUACGUG
Molecule: ribosomal RNA, 498 nt
Filed under: uncultured bacterium
Lineage: Bacteria
Description: partial 16S ribosomal RNA
Rfam family: Bacterial small subunit ribosomal RNA
Source: RNAcentral